UACGAAGGGGGGCUAGCGUUGUUCGGAUUUACUGGGCGUAAAGCGCACGUAGGCGGAUCGUUAAGUCGGGGGUGAAAUCCUGGAGCUCAACUCCAGAACUGCCUUUGAUACUGGGUAUCUCGAGUCCGGAAGAGGUGAGUGGAAUUCCGAGUGUAGAGGUGAAAUUCGUAGAUAUUCGGAGGAACACCAGUGGCGAAGGCGGCUCACUGGUCCGGUACUGACGCUGAGGUGCGAAAGCGUGGGGAGCAAACAGG
This 254-nucleotide ribosomal RNA is filed under the name uncultured bacterium. Its description in RNAcentral is "partial 16S ribosomal RNA". It matches the Rfam family "Bacterial small subunit ribosomal RNA", at positions 524 to 776 of the family's 1533-position model. The record is from RNAcentral.